Molecule: ribosomal RNA, 193 nt
Filed under: uncultured bacterium
Lineage: Bacteria
Description: partial 16S ribosomal RNA
Rfam family: Bacterial small subunit ribosomal RNA
Source: RNAcentral
ACGCUCGACACCUACGGGAGGUAGCAGUUGGGAAUAUUGGACAAUGGAGGAAACUCUGAUCCAGUGACGCCGCGCGAAGGAAGAAGGUCUUCGGAUUGUAAACUUAUUUUGUCAGGGAAGAAAAAUGACUGUACCUGAAGAAAAAGCACCGGCUAACUACGUGCCANNCGCGUAGUAUNGNGGCGNGNGAGAG